UCUAUUAAUUUUAGACUGGUAUGAAUGGUUAGACUAAGUAAUUUUGUCUUGUAAUAAUAUUUCGAAUUUUAUAUUUUAGUAAAAAAGCUAAAAUUUCUUUUAGGGACGAGAAGACCCUGUCAAGCUUUACAAAUUAGGUCAUUAUUCUUAAAAUGAUUAAAAUUUGUUUUACUGGGGCAGUAGAUAAUAAAAUUUUAUUUAUAUAUUGUGAAAGUAAAUUUUGUCAAAUCAGGAAAUUCCUAAAGAAGAAUAAGUUACUGCAGGGAUAACAGCGUAAUUCUUUUUAAGAGUUCUUAUCAUCAUUAGAGUUUGCGACCUCGAUG
This 323-nucleotide ribosomal RNA is filed under the name Scorpio maurus. RNAcentral's name for it is "partial 16S ribosomal RNA". The stretch from base 74 to 323 matches the Rfam family "Bacterial large subunit ribosomal RNA", at positions 2048 to 2531 of the family's 2925-position model. Lineage: Eukaryota; Metazoa; Arthropoda; Arachnida; Scorpiones; Scorpionidae. The record is from RNAcentral.